AUGCAGUCGAGCGGGGUUUUCGGACCUAGCGGCGGACGGGUGAGUAAUGCGUAGGAAGCUACCCGAUAGAGGGGGAUACCAGUUGGAAACGACUGUUAAUACCGCAUAAUGUCUACGGACCAAAGUGUGGGACCUUCGGGCCACAUGCUAUCGGAUGCGCCUACGUGGGAUUAGCUAGUUGGUGGGGUAAUGGCUCACCAAGGCGACGAUCCCUAGCUGGUUUGAGAGGAUGAUCAGCCACACUGGAACUGAGACACGGUCCAGACUCCUACGGGAGGCAGCAGUGGGGAAUAUUGGACAAUGGCCGCAAGCCUGAUCCAGCCAUGCCGCGUGUGUGAAGAAGGCCUUCGGGUUGUAAAGCACUUUCAGCGAGGAGGAAGGGUUAGUAGUUAAUAGCUGCUAAUUUUGACGUUACUCGCAGAAGAAGCACCGGCUAACUCUGUGCCAGCAGCCGCGGUAAUACAGAGGGUGCAAGCGUUAAUCGGAAUUACUGGGCGUAAAGCGCACGUAGGCGGUUUUUUAAGUCAGAUGUGAAAGCCCCGGGCUCAACCUGGGAAUUGCAUUUGAAACUGGAAAACUAGAGUGUGUGAGAGGGGGGUAGAAUUCCAAGUGUAGCGGUGAAAUGCGUAGAGAUUUGGAGGAAUACCAGUGGCGAAGGCGGCCCCCUGGCACAACACUGACGCUCAGGUGCGAAAGCGUGGGGAGCAAACAGGAUU
This 716-nucleotide ribosomal RNA is filed under the name uncultured bacterium. Its description in RNAcentral is "bacterial SSU rRNA". It matches the Rfam family "Bacterial small subunit ribosomal RNA", at positions 55 to 779 of the family's 1533-position model. The record is from RNAcentral.